RNAcentral lists this long non-coding RNA (1190 nucleotides) under Strigops habroptila (Kakapo). RNAcentral describes it as "lncRNA (ENSSHBG00005013178.1)". The record is from RNAcentral. Lineage: Eukaryota; Metazoa; Chordata; Aves; Psittaciformes; Psittacidae.
CAUUGAUGACAAAGCCAAGAUGCGUUUGUGGUUAUGAGUUGUAAACCUGAGUCCCAGUUCUCCAGGCAUCCUAGGAUGUGUGCAUUGACCCCGUUCUACAGGAACAGCUCAGUGUCCUGCAGGAGGUGGUGGGUUUUGCUGCUGUAGCCACACUGCUCCGCAAAGCCUGCAAGAAACAGCCUCACAGGAGAGUGAAGAACGUGGUUUAGCACCAGCACAGCUUUGCACAGUGCUGGUGUGGAUCACUGCCUCAGUUUGAAUGUUUUAGAUAUUACGGUUUUGCAUCACGGUUACUCUGAUCCAAACAACCUGAUGUUUACUGAAAUUAAAGUCCUGGGGGUGCCCUUCGACGUUAUACAGGUGACCAUAUCGCAGAAUGGUGGGACAAUCGCAUCAUCUCAUUCCGUGGACUACAAUGACACCAAGCAGCUCCUGACAAUCACAAACCUUCAACUUGAAUUAGGCAAAAGCUACACCGUGCAAUGGAGCUAAAAUGCCUGCAAAAUAACAUCAUCCAUACUACUGAAUUUUCUCACUAUUUUAAAACUAUCUUUCAGUUUUCCAACUUUCAUAUUGCAUUUCUGUCAUCUUAGAAUACUUUUUACUAUAAAAACAUACUAGUUACAGUUAGUUCAUAUUCACGUAUUACGCGUACAAAGCAGUCACAUUUCAGUACUGCUGAAGGCCAACUACAAGGUAUUGAUGUGAUGCAAAAAUCUACAAUUUAAACAGCAUGGCGCUUCUGUAUAACUUCAUCUUUCAAAACUGAGAACUGAAUGUAUGUUUUUUCGGAAUAGAAUUUCUGGCUGACUUCAUGCAUGCUAAAUCUUUUUUUUUGUAAAAAAAAAAAAAAAAAGAUACAGUUGGUGUUACCUGAAUGGAUUUGGGGCCAUAAGUCUGCAUAUAUUUAAUUCAUCUUAAUUUUAAUUAUGGCUAUGUAAGUCACUACUACAGAGAAGCAUUUAAGGCCAGACAAAGCAAAUGUUUUCAGAUUACUGAUUUAGCAUGAAAUGAUGUUUCAAUUUGUUGAUCUAUAAAAUACUAAGAUACUUGCAGAAGUCAUAGGGUUUUUUUCUUUUUGGGGGGGAGGUGUCAGCGGGGCUUUUGUAUAACUUUAGCCAAACAGUUGUAUUCCCCAUUGUUUUGAUCUGAAGAUGUAAGAUUAAACCUGAAGUUUCAAGGUUAACUAA